UACAGAGGGGGCAAGCGUUGUUCGGAAUUACUAGGCGUAAAGGGCAGGUAGGUGGUUUGGUUAGUCUGUUGUGAAAGCUCCCGGCUUAACUGGGAGAGGUCAACGGAUACUGCCAAACUUGAGUAUAGGAGAGGUUACUGGAAUUCCCGGUGUAGCGGUGAAAUGCGCAGAGAUCGGGAGGAACACCAAUGGCGAAAGCAGGUAACUGGACUAUUACUGACACUCAGCUGCGAAAGCUAGGGGAGCAAACAGG
Molecule: ribosomal RNA, 253 nt
Filed under: uncultured bacterium
Lineage: Bacteria
Description: partial 16S ribosomal RNA
Rfam family: Bacterial small subunit ribosomal RNA
Source: RNAcentral